AACGCACAUUGCGCCCCUUGGUAUUCCAUGGGGCAUGCCUGUUCGAGCGUCAUUUGUACCCUCAAGCUUUGCUUGGUGUUGGGUGUUUGUCCUGUGCUUUUUGUGCAAGACUCGCCUUAAAUCAAUUGGCAGCCGGCAUGUUAGCCUGGAGCGCAGCACAUUUUGCGUCCCUUGCUUACUUUUGUUGGCCCCCAUCAAGUCCAUAUAUUUGCUCUUGACCUCGGAUCAGGUAGGGAUACCCGCUGAACUUAA
Molecule: unclassified non-coding RNA, 252 nt
Filed under: Leptosphaeria sp.
Lineage: Eukaryota; Fungi; Ascomycota; Dothideomycetes; Pleosporales; Leptosphaeriaceae
Also listed under: 2 other names
Description: partial contains 5.8S ribosomal RNA, internal transcribed spacer 2, and large subunit ribosomal RNA
Source: RNAcentral